Molecule: long non-coding RNA, 706 nt
Filed under: Heterocephalus glaber (naked mole-rat)
Lineage: Eukaryota; Metazoa; Chordata; Mammalia; Rodentia; Bathyergidae
Description: lncRNA (ENSHGLG00100046905.1)
Source: RNAcentral
AUUCUUGUUCCUGGCUCCUCUUCUCUGGCUUUGCUUCCUGGCUGCCAUGACAUGAACAGCUUUACUCCACCAGGCCCUUCCACCAUGCAGGCUUGGAGCUGGCUGUCUGUGGACCGAACCUACUGAAACUCAUCUUCCCAUAGAUGCUGAAGAAGUUGGAUGUGAAACAUUUUCAUCCUGAUUAACUCCUCACCCAAUAUUUUCAGAAGGUGCAUCCAUUUUCCUAUGAAUGUCUUGAGUUUGUCCUUCUUUAUAGGAGGUGAUGGUUUUGCUCCUCCUUGAAGUAUCAGCAGGAGCUCAUGAGGAAGAGAUGGCCAAGGAAGGGCAUUCAGGCAGAGAGAGGCACAUGGUCAAGAUCCUGGUGGAAAAGAAGUGGUGCCUACAAUCCAGAUAAUUUAAGUAAACCCACGUGGCAGAUCCCGAGUUUGGUGAAACCUGUGCCCCACCUACUCCAGCCUGCUCCUGAACAACUGAAGGGAGAAGCUACAAAUCAUAGAAGAGAGCUCCAAACUACUAAUCUAAGUUUGCAACCACACACCAGGCUCUCCUGGUUCUUCCAAUGGGUGAUAUAUGAGUUUCCCGUGGCUGCCAUAAGAAAUUACCACACACUUGAUGACUUAAACCAAUAAAAAUUUAUUCCCUCAGAGUUCUGGAGACUAGAAGUCUGAAAUGAAGGUGUUGGCAGAGCCAUGCUCCUCCCAAAGGC